This 147-nucleotide unclassified non-coding RNA is filed under the name soil metagenome. Its description in RNAcentral is "partial internal transcribed spacer 1". The record is from RNAcentral.
CCGAGUUUACAACUCCCAAACCCCUGUGAACAUACCAAUUGUUGCCUCGGCGGAUCAGCCCGCUCCCGGUAAAACGGGACGGCCCGCCAGAGACCCCUAAGCUCUGGUUUCUAUAUGUAACUUCUGAGUAAAACCAUAAAUAAAUCA